GACGAACGCUGGCGGCGUGCUUAACACAUGCAAGUCGAACGGUAAGGCCCUUCGGGGUACACGAGUGGCGAACGGGUGAGUAACACGUGGGUGAUCUGCCCUGCACUUCGGGAUAAGCCUGGGAAACUGGGUCUAAUACCGGAUAGGACUCCGGACUGCAUGGUCUGGGGUGGAAAGCUUUUGCGGUGUGGGAUGGGCCCGCGGCCUAUCAGCUUGUUGGUGGGGUGAUGGCCUACCAAGGCGACGACGGGUAGCCGGCCUGAGAGGGUGACCGGUCACACUGGGACUGAGAUACGGCCCAGACUCCUACGGGAGGCAGCAGUGGGGAAUACUGCACAAUGGGCGCAAGCCUGAUGCAGCGACGCCGCGUGAGGGAUGACGGCCUUCGGGUUGUAAACCUCUUUCAGCAUCGACGAAGCGAAAGUGACGGUAGGUGCAGAAGAAGGACCGGCCAACUACGUGCCAGCAGCCGCGGUAA
This 478-nucleotide ribosomal RNA is filed under the name uncultured bacterium. RNAcentral's name for it is "partial 16S ribosomal RNA". It matches the Rfam family "Bacterial small subunit ribosomal RNA", at positions 28 to 523 of the family's 1533-position model. The record is from RNAcentral.